UUUUUUAACUUUAUUGUCAUACAUCCACAGCAAUUGGGAUAGGCGCAGUGAAGGAACAGGACAGAAUUGCUAAACAGCACUGCCGUAACACUACAAAAUAAAUUGUACAAUUGGUCCUAGGUGCACAAAAACCCUGCUAACAUAUGACAUUUGGCAGUAAUUGCACAGAAGAAGGAGCAGAAAUAGUUCUUGUUGCAGAUACUAUUAUGGGUUAAAAUAAUGCAAAAUGUUGUCACCUGCAGCGAUAUCUAAGAACAUCAAAACCAGGCAGAUGUAGACUUUCAUCUUGUCAGUUGGAUCGGUCAGGCAAUGAGUAAAGCUAGUCUGAAAGCACACAAUUUAUAUAGCAGCUGGAAGACACUCCUCCCUACACAAUGUCUGUCACUGAGAUUGACAGGUACUUCAACAGUUUAAAGGUGAUGUGAAACUAGUAUGUCCAACCACUUCUGAAAAACGCCAACCUAACUGAACUCCAUCCAAACAGCCCAAAAUGCCUUUAAAAAGUCCUUGAAAUUGCUCU
Molecule: non-coding RNA, 520 nt
Organism: Pelobates cultripes (western spadefoot toad)
Lineage: Eukaryota; Metazoa; Chordata; Amphibia; Anura; Pelobatidae
Source: the annotation of a GenBank genome assembly